This 317-nucleotide unclassified non-coding RNA is filed under the name Hevea brasiliensis (rubber tree). The record is from RNAcentral. Lineage: Eukaryota; Viridiplantae; Streptophyta; Magnoliopsida; Malpighiales; Euphorbiaceae.
CUUCGAUAAAAUAAUUACAUUACAACUCAACGUGGAAACAAUUUCUCAAGCUACCAUCAAAAUUUCAGUAACAAUUGAAACUUAAAAAGCUUACAAACCUAUCAAAAACAAGCUCAGAUUGGUACAUAUCGUUUCAUCGCCUGUUUUGCUGCAACUCCAAGCCCAACUACAGCUCCACCAAUAACCCCUGCAACAGCCGCGGACCUCAACCCUGCCGCCGCCCUGUAAAAUGCUCCAGUCCCUAAACCCGCCACCACGCUAUUGAUAACAUCGUCUGUAUCCCUGAUCGCCACCAUCCCACUCUCUAAACCCGCAUA